UACAGAGGGGGCAAGCGUUGUUCGGAAUUACUGGGCGUAAAGGGCGCGUAGGCGGCCCGCUAAGUCGAACGUGAAAUCCCCGGGCUCAACCCGGGAACUGCGUCUGAGACUGGAAGGCUUGAAUCCGGGAGAGUGAUGUGGAAUUCCAGGUGUAGCGGUGAAAUGCGUAGAUAUCUGGAGGAACACCGGUGGCGAAGGCGGCAUCCUGGACCGGUAUUGACGCUGAGGCGCGAAAGCCAGGGGAGCAAACGGG
RNAcentral lists this ribosomal RNA (253 nucleotides) under uncultured bacterium. Its description in RNAcentral is "partial 16S ribosomal RNA". It matches the Rfam family "Bacterial small subunit ribosomal RNA", at positions 524 to 776 of the family's 1533-position model. The record is from RNAcentral.